GACGAACGCUGGCGGCGUGCUUAACACAUGCAAGUCGAACGGAAAGGCCCUGCUUUUGUGGGGUGCUCGAGUGGCGAACGGGUGAGUAACACGUGAGUAACCUGCCCUUGACUUUGGGAUAACUUCAGGAAACUGGGGCUAAUACCGGAUAGGAGCUCCUGCUGCAUGGUGUGGGUUGGAAAGUUUCGGCGGUUGGGGAUGGACUCGCGGCUUAUCAGCUUGUUGGUGGGGUAGUGGCUUACCAAGGCUUUGACGGGUAGCCGGCCUGAGAGGGUGACCGGCCACCUUGGGACUGAGAUACGGCCCAGACUCCUACGGGAGGCAGCAGUGGGGAAUAUUGCACAAUGGGCGGAAGCCUGAUGCAGCAACGCCGGGUGCGGGAUGACGGCCUUCGGGUUGUAAACCGAUUUCGACUGUGACGAAGCGUGAGUGACGGUAAUGGGUAAAGAAGCACCGGCUAACUACGUG
RNAcentral lists this ribosomal RNA (468 nucleotides) under uncultured bacterium. RNAcentral describes it as "partial 16S ribosomal RNA". It matches the Rfam family "Bacterial small subunit ribosomal RNA", at positions 28 to 507 of the family's 1533-position model. The record is from RNAcentral.